This 497-nucleotide ribosomal RNA is filed under the name uncultured bacterium. RNAcentral's name for it is "partial 16S ribosomal RNA". It matches the Rfam family "Bacterial small subunit ribosomal RNA", at positions 28 to 507 of the family's 1533-position model. The record is from RNAcentral.
GAUGAACGCUGGCGGCGUGCCUAAUACAUGCAAGUCGAGCGAACAGACGAGGAGCUUGCUCCUCUGACGUUAGCGGCGGACGGGUGAGUAACACGUGGAUAACCUACCUAUAAGACUGGGAUAACUUCGGGAAACCGGAGCUAAUACCGGAUAAUAUAUUGAACCGCAUGGUUCAAUAGUGAAAGACGGUUUUGCUGUCACUUAUAGAUGGAUCCGCGCCGCAUUAGCUAGUUGGUAAGGUAACGGCUUACCAAGGCAACGAUGCGUAGCCGACCUGAGAGGGUGAUCGGCCACACUGGAACUGAGACACGGUCCAGACUCCUACGGGAGGCAGCAGUAGGGAAUCUUCCACAAAGGGCGAAAGCCUGACGGAGCAACGCCGCGUGAGUGAUGAAGGUCUUCGGAUCGUAAAACUCUGUUAUUAGGGAAGAACAAAUGUGUAAGUAACUAUGCACGUCUUGACGGUACCUAAUCAGAAAGCCACGGCUAACUACGUG